Molecule: long non-coding RNA, 1946 nt
Filed under: Homo sapiens (human)
Lineage: Eukaryota; Metazoa; Chordata; Mammalia; Primates; Hominidae
Source: RNAcentral
CUCCAACCCCUUUUCCCACUUUUCUGGAAGGUAAGAACCCCCGAACCCCUUCCCUCCAUUUCUCUACUCUCUUUUCUCUAGGCUUCCUUCCUUCACUAUGGGCAAACUUCCACCCUCCAUUCCUCCUUCUACUCCCUUGGCCUGUGUUCUCAAAAACUUAAAACCUCUUCAACUCAUACCUGACCUAAAACCUAAAUGCCUUAUUUUCUUCUGCAAUGCCACUUGACCCCAGUACAAACUCGACAGUAGUUCCAAAUAGCCAGAAAAUGGCACUUUGAAUUUUUCCACCCUGCAAGAUCUAAAUAAUUCUUGUCGUAAAAUAGGCAAAUGGUCUGAGGUGCCUGACGUCCAGGCAUUCUUUUACACAUCAGUCCCAUCCUAGUCUCUGUGCCCAGUGCAACUCGUCCCAAAUCUUCCUUCUUUCCCUCCCGCCUGUCCGCUCAGUACCAACCCCAAGUGUUGCUGAGUCUUUCUAAUCUUCCUUUUCUACAGACCCAUCUGACCUCUCCCUUCCUCCCCAGCCUGCUCCUCGCCAGGCUGAGCUAGGUCUCAAUUCUUCCUCAGCCUCUGCUCCUCCACCCUAUAAUCUUUUUAUCACCUCCCCUCCUCACACCUGGUCUGACUUACAGUUUCGUUCCGUGACUAGCCCUCCCCCACCUGCCCAGCAAUUUACUCUUAAAAAGGUGGCUGGAGCCAAAGGCAUAGUCAAGAUUAAUGCUCCUUUUUCUUUAUCCCAAAUCAGAUAGCGUUUAGGCUCUUUUUCAUCAAAUAUAAAAAUCCAGCCCAGUUCAUGACUUGUUUGGCAGCAACCCUGAGACACUUUACAGUCCUAGACCCUAAAAGGCAAAAGACCGUCUUAUUCUCAAAAUACAUUUUAUUACCCAAUCUGCUCCUGACACUAAAACUCCAAAAAUUAAAUUCCGGCCCUCAAACCCCACAACAAGAUUUAAUUAACCUCGCCUUCAAGGCGUACAAUAAUAGAAAAAAGUUGCAAUGUUCCUUGCCUCCACUGUGAGACAAACCCCAGCCACAUCUCCAGCACACAAGAACUUCCAAACACCUGAACCGCAGUGGCCAGGCGUUCCUCCAGAACCUCCUCCCCCAGGAGCUUGCUACACGUGCCGGAAAUCUGGCCACUGGGCCAAGGAAUGCCCGCAGCCCAGGAUUCCUCCUAAGCCGCGUCCCAUCUGUGUGGGACCCCACUGAAAAUCGGACUGUUCAACUCACCUGGCAGCCACUCCCAGAGGCCCUGGAACUCUGGCCCAAGGCUCUCUGACUGACUCCUUCCCAGAUCUUCUCGGCUUAGUGGCUGAAGACUGACACUGCCCGAUCGCCUCGUGAGCCCCCUAGACCAUCACGGAUGCCGAGCUUCGGGUAACUCUCACAGUGGAAGGUUCCCACGCCGCCCCUAAUCCCGCUCGAAGCAGCCCUGAGAAACAUCGCCCAUUCUCUCUCCAUAUCACCCCCCAAAAAUUUUUGCCACCCCAACACUUCAACACUAUUUUGUUUUAUUUUUCUUAUUAAUAUAAGACGGCAGGAAUGUCAGGCCUCUGAGCCCAAGCCAAGCCAUCGCAUCCCCUGUGACUUGCACGUAUAUGCCCAGAUGGCCUGAAGUAACUGAAGAAUCACAAAAGAAGUGAAUAUGCUCUGCCCCACCUUAACUGAUGACCUUCCACCACAAAAGAAGUGUAAAUGGCCGGUCCUUGCUUUAAGUGAUGACAUUACCUUGUGAAAGUCCUUUUCCUGGCUCAUCCUGGCUCAAAAAUCACCCCCACUGAGCACCUUGCAACCCCCACUCCUGCCUGCCAGAGAACAAACCCUCUUUGACUGUAAUUUUCCUUUACCUACCCAAAUCCUAUAAAACGGCCCCACCCUUAUCUCCCUUCGCUGACUCUCUUUUCGGACUCAGCCCGCCUGCACCCAGGUGAAAUAAACAGCCACGUUGC